CGAGUGUCAAAUGACUUUUAAGUAAAGGUAAACGUAGGGGACAAAAAAUAGCCUCUUUGAUUUGUCAUUUCAAAUUCAAUAAUCAACAAGAGUGCUGAAGAAACGGAGACCAGUCAGAUCAAUCUGCCUCAACAACAUGCACAAAAAAGAACACGUGUAGGCUGGCAUGCCCAACUCUUCACAGCAUGUUUCUUGAGCAGGCUCAUGAUAUUGUUUUUCCAGACUAAAUCAAAGGUCUGUAAGAUCAAAAAGCACGACAAAUUGGUACAGCCAGUAAACAUGCACAAUUACCAUCAUUAACCAAAAUGUAAAAUCGCAUCUUCUAUCCUUUUCAGAAAGGAGGGGACGGAGGUGUCAAUGCCGUGGAAGGUAUUCAAAAUUUCUUGUAAAUGCUACAGGUUAUUAUUUGGUUUUACAACACCCUGGAGCUUCCACCCACCGAGUCCUGCUAACACAAAAGCCUGAGAGUGUAACACACGGGGUCAGAUAAAGAUCAAGGUAAGUUAAUAUAAAAAUUAUUUUUGAUGCCCUAUAAUGUAACCAGAGCGGUAGCAAUUAACCAUUCUCAAAUUUUACCCCCUAUGACCUGUAUCUUAUAUCAUUUAACUAUCACUAACAAUUAAUUCAAAAAAACUUCUUGAACACAAAAAAUCUGUGUUUCUGAUUCAGCUCCUUCCACCCCGAACAAGUUUCUUUCUGCGGUUCAAUUCUCAAAUUAGAACUCUCUUAUAUCAAGCUUUCAUUGAUAGGUCUUGGACUAAAAAAUAUAAACCAAUUCAGAAGAACUUCACACUUUGUAAUGGCCAUUACUUAUUUGAAUAGAAGAAAGCUCAUAAUGCGACCAACCUUUUCCCUUUAAGAAUGGAAGGCUAAAGGCCAUAUUCAAGCUUUUACUGUAAAAAUCAUUUAGCAAAAUGGUAAAGCCCCUCAUGACAAUUAUCUGGCAACAUACCUAUUUUAAUCAUAUCCCUGCUUCUCGGAGAAUCCUUACCAAAGAAAGUCCAGAUUCAAUGCUCUCCAGGCAGUGAAAAAAGAUGCUAUCCUUUUUCUUUUAUAAACAUCUAAGACUACCAUGGAUUAGGACAUCAAUUUACAUGAAUAUCAAAAUCAAUUCAAAAGUUAAAAAAGGAUUCUUCCUUAAUAAGGGGAGAGAAUGGAAGUGCAACACUUUAUCUGUGACACAAAAAUAAUGCUUCAGCCUUACAGGCCUUGUUGUUUAGUCAGCACCUUCAACACACCUCCUAAAUUGCACCUCCUCAUUCUCCUCCAUAGGAGGCUAGAAAAUCCCAAAGAAUAAGUGAAUUUUGAAUUGAAAAUUUCAGACUGUAAUGCUUUGUAUAUGUAGAUGCCUUGUAUUUGUAGAUGCCCUACCCUAAGGAUGUCUGAUGCAUCCUCACUUUAGCUUCAACACAGCUUAAGAUUCGGAAAGCUAAUGCAAUUAAAGGUUAUCUGUCUUUGCUUGCCUUUCUUCCAAUUCCACCUAGUUUCUUCAAGGUACUAUGAUCCCACAUCCUUCUAAACCAGUCCUCCAAAUUCCCAAAUUCCUAAUCCUGAGGUUCUGAACUCCCCAUUUUCAGCAGCCGUAUCAGAAGUACCAACUAGUUUUAAACAAAAACAAGCUCUACUCUUAAUCAGUUAGUUACUCAUUUAGCUAUCUAACCAAGUUCUUUGAAACAACCCACCCUAUCGCUUGAAGACUUUUUUUUUUGGUGAUAUGUUGCAUGACAGCUUUUGCUGCAUCAGUUUUGUUUCAUGAUUCAUAAGAAAUUCUCUUCUUAUAUCACUUUUUCAUGUCAGACUGCCUGACUUGUCCACAUGGUCUUAAUAUUUUUGCACAUCUCUAAUUUUUCCAUUCAUUAUAUAAAACAUUAUUACUUAUUGCAGUACCAGUUUUGUUCGUGUUUCUUCUGUCUCUCAUAAGCUUUUCCCAACUAAAUUUUAAGGCUUUGUCUGGAAAUUGUACCAGCCAAGCGACUUAGAAUAGACAAAGUCAGUGUACUUCAUCACUAAAUAUUCCACUCCAGGAAAAAUUUAGAGUUCCUUUGAGUAAGGAUCUAAAGUAAGCAACUGGAGGUGUUAUGAUAGAAGUUUAUAAGUCUAAGCAUAGUAUCCUUCCACAUAAACCUGAUUUCCCAACAAAGCACACCUUAAUAAAAUGUUUGAAAAGUGGAAAGUGAGGGGUAAGAAAGAGAGGCAAAAGAAACAGGAGAACGCUUCCCUUUUGCUUAGAGAAAGGAGGGAAAAUGGCAGGCAAUAAGAGUGAAAGGAACAUAGAGACCUACAAACAAUUUUCUCUCCAAAGAAGGAAUUUUAUUUGGUGUAACCGUUAUACAUACAGAGGUUUAAUUAUAAUCAUUGAUCAUGAUGGGAUCCAUGUGAAACCCACCACAAUCAACGGUUACCAUAAAACUGUUGUACACACAUCAGUUUCAUUGUGUAAUUUUUCCCAAAGAAGAGACAAGUGAGAGGAAAAUUAAUCAAAUUACCUCUUUACCCUUUUUUUUUUCUUUUGCAAAAAAUGAAGAGCAAAAUUUUAAUAGAACAACUUUCUCUCUGUUUCCUUCCCCAA
This 2569-nucleotide unclassified non-coding RNA is filed under the name Hevea brasiliensis (rubber tree). The record is from RNAcentral. Lineage: Eukaryota; Viridiplantae; Streptophyta; Magnoliopsida; Malpighiales; Euphorbiaceae.